GUACUUGUAAGCGCGGCAAUGGCGGAGGAGCGCCGCUGAAAAACUUAUUACUUUUUCUGGGUCACAAAAUAAACUUUUAAGAUAUUUUCAGGCGAGAAUGUAGCUGUGUAAAGUUCAAGUAUCUGCUCGAUUUAUCAAGACAUCACAUAUUUGCAAAAAUGCUCCAACAUUUUCGGAGACGUCUAUUUUUUUUUUUUCAUGCUUUGUGGCAGCUUUUGAACAUCUGUGGCAUCUAUUAAUGUCAAAUCUAGCCUUUAUUUAACAACAUAAGCAAACUCUAUGUUACAAUGAUUGCACAGCCAUUAAGGAUCAAAUCAGCUCCUGAAAAAUGUUUUUUCUCCCUCUGCUUGCUUCUUACUGUCUUUGAGGCUCAGGACCAGCACUCCUGCUGUUGGACAGAAAGACAUCAACUCAGUGACUUGAGAUAUGACUACACUAUGCUGUUGCUGGUGACUCCCGUUAAUUCUACAAGACAUGCUGUAACACCAGGAGAGAUGAGUCCUCCGUCACAGAUGGUGUGGUCAGUGAAGAUGGUCGCCUGCAGGUUCAAGCUCAUUGCAUCUCCAACCCACAUCCACUGCCACUGUACUUAAGGGAAGUUAAAGGCUUUCGUCUGCAACUACAUUUGGAUCACCUCGAUCCAUGACAGUCAUUCAGGCAGUAAUGCCUGGACUGGAAACAAGCCAUCCUUAAAAUAAUACAACAUUCCAGCUCAUGUGUUGGAAUGGAAAACAAAUGUGUUGUUUAAAUUAGAGACUGCACUU
Molecule: long non-coding RNA, 764 nt
Organism: Oreochromis aureus
Lineage: Eukaryota; Metazoa; Chordata; Actinopteri; Cichliformes; Cichlidae
Source: Ensembl